GAUGAACGCUGGCGGCGUGCCUAAUACAUGCAAGUCGAGCGAACAGACGAGGAGCUUGCUCCUCUGACGUUAGCGGCGGACGGGUGAGUAACACGUGGAUAACCUACCUAUAAGACUGGGGUAACUUCGGGAAACCGGAGCUAAUACCGGAUAAUAUAUUGAACCGCAUGGUUCAAUAGUGAAAGACGGUUUUGCUGUCACUUAUAGAUGGAUCCGCGCCGCAUUAGCUAGUUGGUAAGGUAACGGCUUACCAAGGCGACGAUGCGUAGCCGACCUGAGAGGGUGAUCGGCCACACUGGAACUGAGACACGGUCCAGACUCCUACGGGAGGCAGCAGUAGGGAAUCUUCCGCAAUGGGCGAAAGCCUAACGGAGCAACGCCGCGUGAGUGAUGAAGGUCUUCGGAUCGUAAAACUCUGUUAUUAGGGAAGAACAAAUGUGUAAGUAACUAUGCACGUCUUGACGGUACCUAAUCAGAAAGCCACGGCUAACUACGUG
RNAcentral lists this ribosomal RNA (497 nucleotides) under uncultured bacterium. Its description in RNAcentral is "partial 16S ribosomal RNA". It matches the Rfam family "Bacterial small subunit ribosomal RNA", at positions 28 to 507 of the family's 1533-position model. The record is from RNAcentral.